This 397-nucleotide ribosomal RNA is filed under the name uncultured bacterium. Its description in RNAcentral is "bacterial SSU rRNA". It matches the Rfam family "Bacterial small subunit ribosomal RNA", at positions 28 to 430 of the family's 1533-position model. The record is from RNAcentral.
GACGAACGCUGGCGGCGUGCUUAACACAUGCAAGUCGAGCGGUAAGGCCCUUUCGGGGGUACACGAGCGGCGAACGGGUGAGUAACACGUGGGUGACCUGCCCUCAGCUCUGGGAUAAGCCUGGGAAACUGGGUCUAAUACUGGAUAUGACUCCACGGUGCAUGUCGUGGGGUGGAAAGCCUUGUGCGGCUGAGGAUGGGCCCGCGGCCUAUCAGCUUGUUGGUGGGGUGANGGCCUACCAAGGCGACGACGGGUAGCCGGCCUGAGAGGGCGACCGGCCACACUGGGACUGAGACACGGCCCAGACUCCUACGGGAGGCAGCAGUGGGGAAUCUUGCGCAAUGGGCGAAAGCCUGACGCAGCGACGCCGCGUGAGGGAUGACGGCCUGGUGUAACU